AACCUUGUUAUCGAAUGAUUCAAACCAAUCGUCACAAGGUGGUCAGAUAUAGAUAUAAGGGCACAGCUACAACCAUGUAUUUCACUAAAGAAAAUAAUAACCUUCAGCAGAAUGGACAAUUAUUUGAUGCCCAAAUAAAGAAGCAAAUAAAAAAGGUCAGUACAUAGCUUUGCUUUUCUGUUUGCCAAUAUUCAGAUUCAGGCAUCAGAUCUAGAUGCA
RNAcentral lists this unclassified non-coding RNA (219 nucleotides) under Hevea brasiliensis (rubber tree). Lineage: Eukaryota; Viridiplantae; Streptophyta; Magnoliopsida; Malpighiales; Euphorbiaceae. The record is from RNAcentral.